This 253-nucleotide ribosomal RNA is filed under the name uncultured bacterium. Its description in RNAcentral is "partial 16S ribosomal RNA". It matches the Rfam family "Bacterial small subunit ribosomal RNA", at positions 524 to 776 of the family's 1533-position model. The record is from RNAcentral.
UACGGAGGGCGCAAGCGUUGCCCGGAAUUACUGGGCGUAAAGGGCGCGUAGGCGGACAGUUUAGUCAGAGGUGAAAGCCCAGGGCUCAACCUUGGAAUUGCCUUUGAUACUGGCUGUCUUGAGUUCGGGAGAGGUGAGUGGAAUGCCGAGUGUAGAGGUGAAAUUCGUAGAUAUUCGGCGGAACACCAGUGGCGAAGGCGACUCACUGGCCCGAUACUGACGCUGAGGCGCGAAAGCGUGGGGAGCAAACAGG